This 253-nucleotide ribosomal RNA is filed under the name uncultured bacterium. RNAcentral's name for it is "partial 16S ribosomal RNA". It matches the Rfam family "Bacterial small subunit ribosomal RNA", at positions 524 to 776 of the family's 1533-position model. The record is from RNAcentral.
UACGUAGGUGGCAAGCGUUGUCCGGAUUUACUGGGCGUAAAGAGCGCGCAGGCGGUCGUUCAAGUCGCGUGUGAAAGCCCCCGGCUCAACUGGGGAGGGUCACGCGAUACUGAUCGACUCGAAGGCAGGAGAGGGUAGUGGAAUUCCCGGUGUAGUGGUGAAAUGCGUAGAUAUCGGGAGGAACACCAGUGGCGAAGGCGACAUACUGGCUCAUUACUGACGCUGAGGCUCGAAAGCGUGGGGAGCGAACAGG